RNAcentral lists this ribosomal RNA (492 nucleotides) under uncultured bacterium. Its description in RNAcentral is "partial 16S ribosomal RNA". It matches the Rfam family "Bacterial small subunit ribosomal RNA", at positions 29 to 507 of the family's 1533-position model. The record is from RNAcentral.
AGUGAACGCUGGCGGUAGGCCUAACACAUGCAAGUCGAACGGCAGCACAGUAAGAGCUUGCUCUUACGGGUGGCGAGUGGCGGACGGGUGAGGAAUACAUCGGAAUCUACUUUUUCGUGGGGGAUAACGUAGGGAAACUUACGCUAAUACCGCAUACGACCUACGGGUGAAAGCAGGGGAUCUUCGGACCUUGCGCGAUUGAAUGAGCCGAUGUCGGAUUAGAUAGUUGGCGGGGUAAAGGCCCACCAAGGCGACGAUCCGUAGCUGGUCUGAGAGGAUGAUCAGCCACACUGGAACUGAGACACGGUCCAGACUCCUACGGGAGGCAGCAGUGGGGAAUAUUGGACAAAGGGCGCAAGCCUGAUCCAGCCAUACCGCGUGGGUGAAGAAGGCCUUCGGGUUGUAAAGCCCUUUUGUUGGGAAAGAAAAGCAGCAGGUUAAUACCCCGCUGUUCUGACGGUACCCAAAGAAUAAGCACCGGCUAACUUCGUG